RNAcentral lists this long non-coding RNA (632 nucleotides) under Capsicum annuum. Its description in RNAcentral is "long non-coding RNA (CANN_LNC009918)". The record is from RNAcentral. Lineage: Eukaryota; Viridiplantae; Streptophyta; Magnoliopsida; Solanales; Solanaceae.
GAAGACAGGUUUUUGUCCUUUCCAAGCGUCCCCGCCCCUCCCCCAAUUUUCAAUAAUCCAUUGAGGGGUCUUCAUCCUAUUCCUAAAAAAUGAAAAAUCAAGCAAGCUUUCCUCUCUACUUUCUUCCUUUCUGCUCCACCACCCCUAAAAAAAAACCCUAAAUCAGUCGCGUCACCACCAUAACUGUCACUCUUCUGAGAAGAUUCUCUCGAUAUUUUGCAUGUCCAGCCUAUGAAUUCAAAAGCAAUACAUACCCAAAUUUAUGCAACAACAAACAUUAACUUAAAUCAAUCUUUGAAAUAGCCACGAGAAAAGGUGAUUCUAUUGAUUUGAAAUUUGAAUCUCCCCACCCCCUUUAUUUUGAAGCGUCUUGUUAAAUUUAAGUUUUGAAUCUGGACAUUCAAGUCCGUAUUCACCUAUAAAUAUGGUGUUUUCACCCCCAACCCCCACCCCCAAGGGGGACAGGUUGAAUUUAGGAGGAAAAUAGAGAGAAGAAUCAAAAAAAGGAACCGGGUGAAGGUACAAGGGAGAAAAAUAGUGAAGUCAAGUGUUGGGAAACAAAAAGGGGGCCAAAAAUUGGGGAUCUUUUCAGGGUUUUCAAAAUAGAGAAAAAAAUAAGGCUUCAAAUCAGG